This 558-nucleotide ribosomal RNA is filed under the name Calonarius cf. callochrous F14969. RNAcentral describes it as "eukaryotic LSU rRNA". It matches the Rfam family "Eukaryotic large subunit ribosomal RNA", at positions 1 to 556 of the family's 3401-position model. The record is from RNAcentral. Lineage: Eukaryota; Fungi; Basidiomycota; Agaricomycetes; Agaricales; Cortinariaceae.
GUGACCUCAAAUCAGGUAGGACUACCCGCUGAACUUAAGCAUAUCAAUAAGCGGAGGAAAAGAAACUAACAAGGAUUCCCCUAGUAACUGCGAGUGAAGCGGGAAAAGCUCAAAUUUAAAAUCUGGCAGUUUUUGGCUGUCCGAGUUGUAAUCUAGAGAAGCAUUAUCCGCGCUGGACCGUGUACAAGUCUCCUGGAAUGGAGCGUCAUAGAGGGUGAGAAUCCCGUCUUUGACACGGACUGCCAGGGCUUUUGUGAUGUGCUCUCAAAGAGUCGAGUUGUUUGGGAAUGCAGCUCAAAAUGGGUGGUAAAUUCCAUCUAAAGCUAAAUAUUGGCGAGAGACCGAUAGCGAACAAGUACCGUGAGGGAAAGAUGAAAAGAACUUUGGAAAGAGAGUUAAACAGUACGUGAAAUUGCUGAAAGGGAAACGCUUGAAGUCAGUCGCGUUGUCCAGGGAUCAACUCUUGCUUUUGCUUGGUGUACUUUCUGGUUAACGGGUCAGCAUCAAUUUUGACUAUUGGAAAAAGAUCAAGGGAAUGUGGCAUCUUUGGAUGUGUUA